GGGCGCGUGGUUUAGUGGUAUAAUAUUCGCUUAGCACUUGUUUAAACAAUUGUGAAUGGUCCUGGGUUCGAUUCCCAGCGCGUCCA
Molecule: non-coding RNA, 86 nt
Organism: Cadophora gregata
Lineage: Eukaryota; Fungi; Ascomycota; Leotiomycetes; Helotiales; Ploettnerulaceae
Source: the annotation of a RefSeq genome assembly